This is a non-coding RNA of Pelobates cultripes (western spadefoot toad), 311 nucleotides long. The record is from the annotation of a GenBank genome assembly. Lineage: Eukaryota; Metazoa; Chordata; Amphibia; Anura; Pelobatidae.
CCUGAGGGUGGGGGCACCCUCAUGGCACUAUAGUGCCAGGAAAACGAGUAUGUUUUCCUGGCACUAUAGUGGUCCUUUAACUAAUGUAAUUAAAGUGGAUCUGUCAGCAUCUGGAGACUUUGCACAAUUUGCAAAUAUUCCCGAAUGUGACAUCGCUGCUGGGGGCUGGCGAAGGUGAGUUUUACUUACCCAAGCUUGUCUCUCGCGGGCGCUGCCAUUUUUUCCCUUCUUUUCCUCUUCUGCUCCUGACACUUCAGCUUAUGUCAGCAAUUGAACGAGAACAUGAACUGUAUGCGAGAAGUCACCUACAG